Molecule: ribosomal RNA, 119 nt
Filed under: Rhinopithecus roxellana (golden snub-nosed monkey)
Lineage: Eukaryota; Metazoa; Chordata; Mammalia; Primates; Cercopithecidae
Source: RNAcentral
GUCUACCACCAUACCACCCUGAAUGCGCCUGAUCUCGUCUGAUCUUGGAAGCUAAGCAGGGUAGGACCUGGUUAGGACUUGGAUGGGAGACAGCCUGGGAAUACAGGGUGCUGUAGGCU